CCUACGGGAGGCAGCAGUGGGGAAUAUUGGACAAUGGGCGCAAGCCUGAUCCAGCAAUGCCGCGUGUGUGAAGAAGGCCUGCGGGUUGUAAAGCACUUUGAGUGGGGAAGAAGGCCUGGGGGUUAAUACCCUCUGGGAUUGACGUUACCCACAGAACAAGCACCGGCUAACUCCGUGCCAGCAGCCGCGGUAAUACGGAGGGUGCGAGCGUUAAUCGGAAUUACUGGGCGUAAAGCGCGCGUAGGCGGUUAAAUCAGUCUGAUGUGAAAGCCCCGGGCUU
This 280-nucleotide ribosomal RNA is filed under the name uncultured bacterium. RNAcentral describes it as "partial 16S ribosomal RNA". It matches the Rfam family "Bacterial small subunit ribosomal RNA", at positions 338 to 610 of the family's 1533-position model. The record is from RNAcentral.